RNAcentral lists this transfer RNA (72 nucleotides) under Toxocara canis (dog roundworm). It matches the Rfam family "tRNA". Rfam says of the family: Transfer RNA (tRNA) molecules are approximately 80 nucleotides in length. Their secondary structure includes four short double-helical elements and three loops (D, anti-codon, and T loops). Lineage: Eukaryota; Metazoa; Nematoda; Chromadorea; Rhabditida; Toxocaridae. The record is from Rfam by way of RNAcentral.
CGAGCAUUAGCUCAGUGGUAGAGCUCCCGCUUUGUUUGCGGGAAGACCUAGGUUCGUUUCCCGGCUGCUUAC